Long non-coding RNA from Lampris incognitus (smalleye Pacific opah), 221 nucleotides. RefSeq lists it as uncharacterized. NCBI's taxonomy places the organism in Eukaryota, Metazoa, Chordata, Actinopteri, Lampriformes, Lampridae. The record is from RefSeq and is a predicted model, not a curated record. The transcript is spliced from 3 exons.
CAAGCUGCAGGCGCUCGACAGCGCCUGGUUUUCCAAGCUGCGGCGUCUGACUGAAGUAAAGUUAAACAACAACGAGCUGGCAGCCAUACCUGACCUGGGACCCGCCGCCGCCAACCUCACGGCGCUCGUUCUAGCCAACAACCGGAUCGGCAGGAUCUGCGCGGAGCGGCUGAGGCCCCUGCUGAGCCUGGAGACGCUGGACCUCAGCAACAACAACAUCG